Molecule: small nucleolar RNA, 129 nt
Organism: Melanotaenia boesemani (Boeseman's rainbowfish)
Lineage: Eukaryota; Metazoa; Chordata; Actinopteri; Atheriniformes; Melanotaeniidae
Product: small nucleolar RNA SNORA55
Exons: 1
Source: RefSeq, a predicted model, not a curated record
GCACCUCAGUACAACCUGUGUCGAUUCUUCUUGUUUGACGUGGGUAUCGCAGGUGCUAGAGAAACUCAUAGUUAAUCCAGAUGGACCUCCUCCUCAUGUGGGGCCCGUCUCUACAACUUUGGUACAUGA